RNAcentral lists this ribosomal RNA (1332 nucleotides) under uncultured bacterium. RNAcentral's name for it is "16S ribosomal RNA". It matches the Rfam family "Bacterial small subunit ribosomal RNA", at positions 34 to 1387 of the family's 1533-position model. The record is from RNAcentral.
CGCUGGCGGCGCGCCUAACACAUGCAAGUCGAACGAGCGAGAGAGAGCUUGCUUUCUCGAGCGAGUGGCGAACGGGUGAGUAACGCGUGAGGAACCUGCCUCAAAGAGGGGGACAACAGUUGGAAACGACUGCUAAUACCGCAUAAGCCCACGGUGCCGCAUGGCACAGAGGGGAAAGGAGCAAUCCGCUUUGAGAUGGCCUCGCGUCCGAUUAGCUGGUUGGUGAGGUAAUGGCCCACCAAGGCGACGAUCGGUAGCCGGACUGAGAGGUUGAACGGCCACAUUGGGACUGAGACACGGCCCAGACUCCUACGGGAGGCAGCAGUGGGGAAUAUUGCACAAUGGGGGAAACCCUGAUGCAGCGACGCCGCGUGGAGGAAGAAGGUCUUCGGAUUGUAAACUCCUGUUGUUGAGGAAGAUAAUGACGGUACUCAACAAGGAAGUGACGGCUAACUACGUGCCAGCAGCCGCGGUAAAACGUAGGUCACAAGCGUUGUCCGGAAUUACUGGGUGUAAAGGGAGCGCAGGCGGGAAGACAAGUUGGAAGUGAAAUCCAUGGGCUCAACCCAUGAACUGCUUUCAAAACUGUUUUUCUUGAGUAGUGCAGAGGUAGGCGGAAUUCCCGGUGUAGCGGUGGAAUGCGUAGAUAUCGGGAGGAACACCAGUGGCGAAGGCGGCCUACUGGGCACCAACUGACGCUGAGGCUCGAAAGUGUGGGUAGCAAACAGGAUUAGAUACCCUGGUAGUCCACACUGUAAACGAUGAUUACUAGGUGUUGGAGGAUUGACCCCUUCAGUGCCGCAGUUAACACAAUAAGUAAUCCACCUGGGGAGUACGACCGCAAGGUUGAAACUCAAAGGAAUUGACGGGGGCCCGCACAAGCAGUGGAGUAUGUGGUUUAAUUCGACGCAACGCGAAGAACCUUACCAAGUCUUGACAUCCUGCGACGGUGCUGGAAACAGUACUUUCCUUCGGGACGCAGAGACAGGUGGCGCAUGGUUGUCGUCAGCUCGUGUCGUGAGAUGUUGGGUUAAGUCCCGCAACGAGCGCAACCCUUAUGGUCAGUUACUACGCAAGAGGACUCUGGCCAGACUGCCGUUGACAAAACGGAGGAAGGUGGGGAUGACGUCAAAUCAUCAUGCCCUUUAUGACUUGGGCUACACACGUACUACAAUGGCGUUAAACAAAGAGAAGCAAGACCGCGAGGUGGAGCAAAACUCAGAAACAACGUCCCAGUUCGGACUGCAGGCUGCAACUCGCCUGCACGAAGUCGGAAUUGCUAGUAAUCGCAGAUCAGCAUGCUGCGGUGAAUACGUUCCCGGGCCUUGCACA